GAUGAACGCUGGCGGCGUGCCUAAUACAUGCAAGUCGAGCGAACGGACGAGAAGCUUGCUUUUCUGAUGUUAGCGGCGGACGGGUGAGUAACACGUGGAUAACCUACCUAUAAGACUGGGAUAACUUCGGGAAACCGGAGCUAAUACCGGAGAAUAUUUUGAACCGCAUGGUUCAAAAGUGAAAGACGGUCUUGCUGUCACUUAUAGAUGGAUCCGCGCUGCAUUAGCUAGUUGGUAAUUUAACGGCUUACCAAGGCAACGAUGCAUAGCCGACCUGAGAGGGUGAUAGGCCACACUGGAACUGAGACACGGUCCAGACGCCUACGGGAGGCAGCAGUAGGGAAUCGUACGCAAUGGGCGAAAGCAUGACGGAGCAGCGCCGCGUGAGAGAUGAAGGUCUUCGGAUCGUAAAACUCUGUUAUUAGGGAAGAACAGAUGUGUAAGUAACUGUGCACAUAUUGACGGUACCUAAUAAGAAAGCCACGGCUAACUACGUG
Molecule: ribosomal RNA, 497 nt
Filed under: uncultured bacterium
Lineage: Bacteria
Description: partial 16S ribosomal RNA
Rfam family: Bacterial small subunit ribosomal RNA
Source: RNAcentral